GUAGGGUCCAAGCGUUAAUCGGAAUUACUGGGGCGUAAAGCGUGCGCAGGCGGUUGUGCAAGACCGAUGUGAAAUCCCCGGGGCUUAACCUGGGAAUUGCAUUGGUGACUGCACGGCUAGAGUGUGUCAGAGGGGGGUAGAAUUCCACGUGUAGCAGUGAAAUGCGUAGAGAUGUGGAGGAAUACCGAUGGCGAAGGCAGCCCCCUGGGAUAACACUGACGCUCAUGCACGAAAGCGUGGGGAGCAAACAGGAUUAGAUACCCUGGUAGUCCACGCCCUAAACGAUGUCAACUAGUUGUUGGGGAUUCAUUUCCUUAGUAACGUAGCUAACGCGUGAAGUUGACCGCCUGGGGAGUACGGUCGCAAGAUUA
Molecule: ribosomal RNA, 371 nt
Filed under: uncultured organism
Description: partial 16S ribosomal RNA
Rfam family: Bacterial small subunit ribosomal RNA
Source: RNAcentral